RNAcentral lists this ribosomal RNA (468 nucleotides) under uncultured bacterium. Its description in RNAcentral is "partial 16S ribosomal RNA". It matches the Rfam family "Bacterial small subunit ribosomal RNA", at positions 28 to 507 of the family's 1533-position model. The record is from RNAcentral.
GACGAACGCUGGCGGCGUGCUUAACACAUGCAAGUCGAACGGAAAGGCCCUGCUUUUGUGGGGUGCUCGAGUGGCGAACGGGUGAGUAACACGUGAGUAACCUGCCCUUGACUUUGGGAUAACUUCAGGAAACUGGGGCUAAUACCGGAUAGGAGCUCCUGCUGCAUGGUGGGGGUUGGAAAGUUUCGGCGGUUGGGGAUGGACUCGCGGCUUAUCAGCUUGUUGGUGGGGUAGUGGCUUACCAAGGCUUUGACGGGUAGCCGGCCUGAGAGGGUGACCGGCCACAUUGGGACUGAGAUACGGCCCAGACUGCUACGGGAGGCAGCAGUGGGGAAUAUUGCACAAUGGGCGGAAGCCUGAUGCAGCAACGCCGCGUGCGGGAUGACGGCCUUCGGGUUGUAACCCGCUUUCGCCUGUGACGAAGCGUGAGUGACGGUAAUGGGUAAAGAAGCACCGGCUAACUACGUG